RNAcentral lists this long non-coding RNA (296 nucleotides) under Gossypium raimondii (Peruvian cotton). Its description in RNAcentral is "long non-coding RNA (GRAI_LNC009414)". The record is from RNAcentral. Lineage: Eukaryota; Viridiplantae; Streptophyta; Magnoliopsida; Malvales; Malvaceae.
UGAAGUUUAUAUAAGUUUACAUAUACUGAAAAAUUCCUUCAACUCCUUAACAAUGGGCCUUCAGUUACUGCUACUGCAAACUUAUAGCUAGAAUGAUCCAUAAAAUUCAGACUGAUGAAUCAGAAUUUGAAUGGAUUUUAGACACAAGAGCCACAAAUCACUUCUUUUUUUUAAAUACUCUAGGACUUCCAUUAAUAAUCAGGGUCUGGCUAACUGUUGAUACACCAACUUGAAAACAAAUUAAAGCAACCUAACUUUCCUUAAAAAAAAUAAAAACCAGAUGAACUACUCUUACU